GACGAACGCUGGCGGCGUGCUUAACACAUGCAAGUCGAACGGAAAGGCCCUGCUUUUGUGGGGUGCUCGAGUGGCGAACGGGUGAGUAACACGUGAGUAACCUGCCCUUGACUUUGGGAUAACUUCAGGAAACUGGGGCUAAUACCGGAUAGGAGCUCCUGCUGCAUGGUGGGGGUUGGAAAGUUUCGGCGGUUGGGGAUGGACUCGCGGCUUAUCAGCUUGUUGGUGGGGUAGUGGCUUACCAAGGCUUUGACGGGUAGCCGGCCUGAGAGGGUGACCGGCCAAAUUGGGGACGAAGUACGGGCCCGACGCCUGCGGGAGGGAGCAGGGGGGGAUAGUGGACAAUGGGCGGAAGGCUGAAGGCGCAACGGCGCGGGGGGGAUGACGGGCUUCGGGGUGUAAACCGGUUUCGGCUGUGAAGGAGGGGGAGUGAAGGGAAUGGGUAAAGAAGGAACGGCUAAAUACGGG
This 468-nucleotide ribosomal RNA is filed under the name uncultured bacterium. Its description in RNAcentral is "partial 16S ribosomal RNA". It matches the Rfam family "Bacterial small subunit ribosomal RNA", at positions 28 to 507 of the family's 1533-position model. The record is from RNAcentral.